UCAAAACCCAGACAGAAACGUCCAACAAACUCCCAGUCCAGGAGCGCUGCAAAACCAACGCCAGUUGUUUUUCUGCAGAAAAUCAUCAACUGUGGAGAAGAAGAAGGGAAAUAAGAAAGAAAGAAAACCCUAAAAACCACCCUGGCGCCCGGGCCCGCAGGCCUCGGGCCGGCUCUGAAAAGUUUGGGCUGUGCACGUGAUGAGCGCGUAGGCGGGAGCCCCAGACAGGACCCGGGCGGGCAUUUCGAGAAAAAGCAGCGGUGACAGCCUUUGGUCCCCAUCUCCAUUGUUCCUGCCAGCUCUGGACCCCAGGCUGCAUGAGAGAGUUGGCCUGUUUCCUCUCAUCUCUGGCUCCAUGACUUCAAUCCUCCUGCAGCUUCCACUGCCCCUAUCUGGCUCAUGUCUUGCUGUCUGGUGUCAUGAACUGGGAGUGCAGUAAAGAGGAGUGACAAGCCUGAGGGGCCACGUUCAUACCUGCCACUGCCAACUGUCCUGAUGUAACUGCUUUGUCAUCUUGCCUGCCAGGAUUUGUGACAAGGUAAUAGCGUCUAGUUUGGGGUCUCUAUAAUCCUGCUCCUUUGGCUGCCAGCCAUCUCCAUAAAAAAAGAAUUUGAAAGGCUUCCAUUCUUUCAGAGACCUGUUUCCCGGGACUGGCUUGAAAGGAUUGGGAGGAAGAAUGAAAAGAUACCUUUCCUUUAGACAUUUCUAAGCUUGCAAAUGCACAGGCAAUGAGAACCACCUCUCUUCACUCCCUGGCAUUUGAGGCUUUUUACGUAAAAAUUUAAACUAAUGAUUAUAUUAGAAAUUUUUAAAUGUUUAAAAAAAGUAUGUUGUAAAAUUGAGGAAAUAUAGUAUUUUGAGAGUCCAAACACGUUCAUGCAGUUGAUUGAGCCUAAGUGUUGGGUUAAUCCUAGUAAGUGAUUGAUCUUUUUAGGUAGGUAAGGGAAUAAACAGAAGAUCAGAAAAGAAGAGGUACUACUAUUACAUUUUAAGUUUCCAAAUAUACUACUAAGUGUCUCUAGUAAAACUUAACUCAUUGAAGAAGAAAAUAGUCUGACUCUAAAAAAAGAGUGUGUGUUCCUGAGAAAGACUAAACCAGUUAUUUUCUCCUUUCAUGUUUGAAUGAAUAACCAUCAGCAAGGGAGAGAUGCACUGACCUUCUGCCAGGUAUAGAACUAUUGAAUGGUACAGUUUGAGAUCUUCGAAACCAUCAGGACUGAUCAUUUUCUGGCUACUUUCUACAUAGGAAUCCUAGAGUUCCUUGGAGAGGAUAUGAAGGUUAUUCUCAGGCCAUGCAGAUGGGCAAGAAAGGAUGUGCGUCCAUGGUUCCUCUUCAAAUCCAACCAAAACAGCCUUGCUUCCGUUGGCUUUAUAUAAUACUGCAACUCUUGAUAAUCUGAUUUAACACAAAUUUCCUCAUUGAGUUUCUCCUCAUGAAGAAACGGCCUCAGUGAGGUAAAUCGGAAUGCACAGGAGCACAUAGCAGGUUAGUGCAGACCAGAAAUCAAACCCAGGCUUUCUGACUGCUCAAUAGACCACAAUCUACCAUGCUACCAUGGAAACUUUAAAACAGAUGAAAGUAAAAACAAACAAACAACAACUUAAAAAAACAAAAACAAAAACAAAAGCAAAACCCAGAGCCUCUCUAGGAAAUACCAACGUGCUUUUGCCAAGUGGGGUUUCUCUCACUUCAUAAGAGCAGUAAACACUAAACCAAGGGAAUGUGAAUUUAGAGGUUAGAAAAGAUAACCAGAGAUUUGGCCGUGCGUGGGGCUCAUGCCUGUAAUCCCAGCACUUUGGGAGGCUGAGGCUGGUGGGUUGCCUGAGGUCAGGAGUUUGAGACCAGCCUGGCCAACAUAGUGAAACCCUGUCUCUACUAAAAAUACAAAAAUUAGCUGGGUGUGGUGGCGUGCACCUGUAAUCCCA
RNAcentral lists this long non-coding RNA (1926 nucleotides) under Homo sapiens (human). RNAcentral's name for it is "HSALNT0113953". Lineage: Eukaryota; Metazoa; Chordata; Mammalia; Primates; Hominidae. The record is from RNAcentral.